AGCGGAAAGGCCACUUCGGUGGUACUCGAGCGGCGAACGGGUGAGUAACACGUGAGUAAUCUGCCCCUGGCUUCGGGAUAGCCACCGGAAACGGUGAUUAAUACCGGAUAUGACAUGGACUCGCAUGGGUUUGUGUGGAAAGUUUUUCGGCCAGGGAUGUGCUCGCGGCCUAUCAGCUUGAUGGUGAGGUAAUGGCUCACCAUGGCUUCGACGGGUAGCCGGCCUGAGAGGGUGACCGGCCACACUGGGACUGAGACACGGCCCAGACUCCUACGGGAGGCAGCAGUGGGGAAUAUUGGACAAUGGGCGGAAGCCUGAUCCAGCAACGCCGCGUGAGGGAUGACGGCCUUCGGGUUGUAAACCUCUUUCAGUACCGACGAAGCGCAAGUGACGGUAGGUACAGAAGAAGCACCGGCCAACUACGUGCCAGCAGCCGCGGUAAUACGUAGGGUGCGAGCGUUGUCCGGAAUUAUUGGGCGUAAAGGGCUCGUAGGCGGUUUGUCGCGUCGGGAGUGAAAACGCCGUGCUUAACACGGCGCUUGCUUUCGAUACGGGCAGACUAGAGGUAUUCAGGGGAGAACGGAAUUCCUGGUGUAGCGGUGAAAUGCGCAGAUAUCAGGAGGAACACCGGUGGCGAAGGCGGUUCUCUGGGAAUGACCUGACGCUGAGGAGCGAAAGUGUGGGGAGCGAACAGGAUUAGAUACCCUGGUAGUCCACACCGUAAACGUUGGGCGCUAGGUGUGGGGUCCAUUCCACGGAUUCCGUGCCGCAGCUAACGCAUUAAGCGCCCCGCCUGGGGA
This 800-nucleotide ribosomal RNA is filed under the name Nocardioides sp. RNAcentral's name for it is "bacterial SSU rRNA". It matches the Rfam family "Bacterial small subunit ribosomal RNA", at positions 65 to 879 of the family's 1533-position model. Lineage: Bacteria; Bacillati; Actinomycetota; Actinomycetes; Propionibacteriales; Nocardioidaceae. The record is from RNAcentral.